Molecule: unclassified non-coding RNA, 211 nt
Filed under: Hevea brasiliensis (rubber tree)
Lineage: Eukaryota; Viridiplantae; Streptophyta; Magnoliopsida; Malpighiales; Euphorbiaceae
Source: RNAcentral
AUUAAAUCAAAAUAAUUCCUAAACUUAGGGUGCGUUUGGAAAUGUUUUGGAUGACGGUUUUUCAUUUUUUUUUAAGAAUAAAAACUGAAACAUGUACGGCAAUAUCUAUUUCGUUUACUUUUUCAUCAGUUAUUUAGAAAUUCUUUUAAAAACAAAAACUGUCAAGUUGAAAACUGCAAAUCAUGCUUUCCACUGUUGUAUUGGAUAAAAA